GCCGGGAUGGUGGAACUGGUAGACGCAGCGGACUCAAAAUCCGCCGCCCGCAAGGGCUUGCGAGUUCGAUUCUCGCUCCCGGUACCA
RNAcentral lists this transfer RNA (87 nucleotides) under Deltaproteobacteria bacterium. Its description in RNAcentral is "tRNA-Leu". It matches the Rfam family "tRNA". From Rfam's summary of the family: Transfer RNA (tRNA) molecules are approximately 80 nucleotides in length. Their secondary structure includes four short double-helical elements and three loops (D, anti-codon, and T loops). Lineage: Bacteria; Pseudomonadati; Myxococcota; Myxococcia. The record is from RNAcentral.